Molecule: ribosomal RNA, 497 nt
Filed under: uncultured Entrophospora
Lineage: Eukaryota; Fungi; Glomeromycota; Glomeromycetes; Entrophosporales; Entrophosporaceae
Description: SSU rRNA
Rfam family: Eukaryotic small subunit ribosomal RNA
Source: RNAcentral
AGCAGCCGCGGUAAUUCCAGCUCCAAUAGCGUAUAUUAAAGUUGUUGCAGUUAAAAAGCUCGUAGUUGAAUUUCGGGAUUGGCGCAUCGGUCGUGCCUCACGGGGUAUGAACUGGUGCAGUCAAUUUCUCACCUUCUGGAGAACCGCGAUGUCCUUAAUUGGAUGCCGCGGGGAACCAGGACCUUUACUUUGAAAAAAUUAGAGUGUUUAAAGCAGGCAUUUUUGCUUGAAUACAUUAGCAUGGAAUAAUAAAAUAGGACGGCAUGGUUCUAUUUUGUUGGUUUCUAGGACCACCGUAAUGAUUAAUAGGGAUAGUUGGGGGCAUUAGUAUUCAAUUGUCAGAGGUGAAAUUCUUGGAUUUAUUGAAGACUAACUACUGCGAAAGCAUUUGCCAAGGAUGUUUUCAUUAAUCAAGAACGAAAGUUAGGGGAUCGAAGACGAUCAGAUACCGUCGUAGUCUUAACCAUAAACUAUGCCGACUAGGAAUCAGACGAUGU